Molecule: long non-coding RNA, 2815 nt
Organism: Equus caballus (horse)
Lineage: Eukaryota; Metazoa; Chordata; Mammalia; Perissodactyla; Equidae
Source: Ensembl
GAUGGUUUGGGGUGAAGGUUGACUUCGGUUGCAUGAGGCUCACUGUGGCAGCUGUGUGGAGAACAGAUGGAAAGGCUUGACAGGAAGCAACGUGACCGGUGGAGGCUACAGCAAUGAUCCAGAUAAGAGCCUAUUGGCCUUGGGCCAACAAGACCCAGCUGGACCCUCCACCCCAUUCCAUGCCCAGAGAGGGGAGCAGGGCUCUUGAGUGACGCGCUGGAGGUUCAGAUCCUGGCUCACAAUGUGAUGUGCCGGAGGACAUCUGAAUUGCUACCUCACAAGAGAAGUAAAUGAGAAGCAUUGUUUCAUGGGCUGUGAAAGGGACACACAGUUUGUACUCCUAUCAGCAGAGCUACUAAAAAAUGGAAAUUUAUGAUUUUUGCCCUUCAGAAAAUCCUCAUUAAGCUCCUUGAAGAAAUGGAAACCUCAUGAGCAGUAAUCAAAGCGUAUGAAGCCUCCUGAGUGGUUAACAGAGGCCACUUCAUCAGACAACUCCCCCGGGGAUAGAGCUGCCCCAAGGCCAUGCUUCUGACAGGAUGGAUUAUGAAUUGAAAUUCAGCUGCAGAAGUGACUGAGCUAGAAAGCCUGAACAGUAGACUGUAUCCAUGAGAAUCUUUCCUGAGAACGUGUUGGCCUUUCAUCCUUGUCAAAUCCCCAGGAACCAUAAGCAAACAAGAGGCAGAUUGAUGUGCUCAUUCAGGGCAAAUCGGUGGAUAGAAGCCUCCAGAUAGACAGGCAGUGGAAGGCCCCACUCCUGGAGGCCUGAGUGGCCAUACGUUCAGCUCCUCAACACAAGUCAGCAUGAUUUAGAACCACAGUCUGUGUGUGUGUCAGCUUGUACUAAGCAUGCCCUCUCUGCUUCCACUCAGAGAACUUCUCAUGCGUGAGCCUAGCUGUUGUUAGCCUGAGGCAGGAACAUCCAGUAGAAAACGUAUUUAAAGCGCUUGACUUUCAGGGCAUCCUCUGGGACCAAGUAUUAGUUUCCUAAGGCUGCUCUAACAACGUACCACAAACCGGGUGGCUUCAAACAACAAAAACUUGUCUCACAGUUCUGGAGGCUAGAAGCCUAAAAUCAAGGUGCUGGCAGGGCCACGCUCCCUCUGAAAUCUCUAAGGGAGAAUCCUUCCUUGCCUCUUCUAGCUUCUGAUACUUGCUGGCAAUCCUUGGCCUUCCUCGGCUUGGAGACGCAUCACUCCAACCCUUUCUCUGUGGUCACAUGAAUUUCUUCUUUCUGUGUGUCUUUGUCUUCACAUGGUGUUUGCUUUUCUUAUUAGGCCUCUAGUCAUAUUGGAUUAGGGCCAACCUUAAUGACCUCUGCUUAGACCCAAAUUUCCAAAUACAGCCUCAUUCACAGGUGCCAGUGAUUAGGACCUCACCAUAUCUUGUAGGAGGCACUCUGCAACCCACAACAGACCACUCUAGUGGAGGAAGGCUGAAGCAAUUCAUCUAGAUGAAUAGGAUGCAAACCAUGAAAGAACUGGUUGCAGAAGAUAAAGGACAGGAUUAUUAGAAGAAUAUGACCAACAGUAGCGGAUUGGUCAAAUUAAGAUGUAAGUGAAAUAAGACAAAGUACAUACUGGAUUUAACAGCAGGACUAGAGUGGUGAGUGUUGGGAACACAUUGCGAUGCAUAAGAGUGAGCAGCAAACGUGGACAUGAAGACCACCAGUGUAGGCAAAUCUCUUAAGACAUUUAGCUGUGCAGACAUAAGAGAAAGAAAGCUGUUGGAGAGAACACUGAUUCUAAGAAGGGCCUUGAUGUCAAGACUUUGGAAGCACCUAACAUUUACUGGUGCUUCUUCAUACUGAAUGGCCACUGAUUCAUACAGACACCAUGGAUGAGAACACUGAACACGAACACUCUAAAUUAUGGCAAAGAUUGUACUGAGAGCUUGUUGCUCCCUGCUUACAGUGGGAUGGGCCAGGUGUGUGAAGCACUGGUUUGACCCGGGAGGGGCUGGGUAGACAUGCUGCUGUGCAGAGGGUGCUUUCCUCUGUAAAUUGCUGUGAAGACUGACACCUGGCGGCUAGCUUUGGCUAAGUCCAUGAUGCCUGCUUACAUUAAGGGCCCAAUAAACUCCCCUGUGAUUUGCAAGUCACCUGUCUCUAUCUUUCCUUUCCCACCUGUGUCAGUCAGGGUUCUCGAGAGAAACAGAACCAAUAGGAUAGAUAUGUACAUAAAAGAGAUUUCUUUUAAGGAAUUGGCUUACAGGAUUGUGGGGGCUGGCAAGUCCAAAAUGUGUAGGGCAGGCCGGUAGGCUGGCAACUCAGGCAAGGAGCUGAUGCUGCAAGCUUGAGGCACAAUUUCUUCUCCGAGAAACCUGUUUCUGCUCUUAAAGCCUUCAACUGGUGAGGCCCCGCCCACACGACGGAGAGUAAUCUCCUUUCCUUAAAGUCCCCUGAUUAUGGAUGUAACACAUCUACAGACACCUUCACAGCGACAUCUAGAUUAGUGUUUGAUUAGAUAACGGGACUACAGCCUAGUCAAGUUGACACAUGACAAUAGCCAUCACAUCCUCCUUCCCCUAAGGACCUCUGAGAGGCCACAGCUUCUGAAAAGUUACCAGUUUUGGCCAUAGCAAUCAGAUAAGCGUCUACUUCAUGAGCAUAGGCUUGGAUUUAAGCAUAUAAAGAAUACUAUUUUCAUAGCAAAAUCUAGGUGGUAAAUGGAGUUUGUAGCCACAAAUCAAACUACUUAAGGCAAUUGGCUUACAGAAUUGCAGAUGCUUGCAUUCUUUCCAAAAGCAAAAUUUCAACCAUAGUGUGUUUUGCUCAUUCAUAGUAUAAAGACAACAGGCCCCGCCUGUGACAAUUAGC